Molecule: ribosomal RNA, 460 nt
Filed under: uncultured bacterium
Lineage: Bacteria
Description: partial 16S ribosomal RNA
Rfam family: Bacterial small subunit ribosomal RNA
Source: RNAcentral
CCUACGGGAGGCAGCAGUGAGGAAUAUUGGUCAAUGGACGAGAGUCUGAACCAGCCAAGUCGCGUGAAGGAUGACUGCCCUAUGGAUUGUAAACUUCUUUUAUAUGGGAAUAAAAUGUUCCACGUGUAGGAUUUUGUAUGUACCCUAUGAAUAAGGAACGGCUAACUCCGUGCCAGCAGCCGCGGUAAUACGGAGGAUCCGAGCGUUAUCCGUAUUUAUUGGGUUUAAAGGGAGCGUAGGUGGAAUGUAAAGUCAGUUGUGAAAGUGUGCGGCUCAACCGUAAAAGUGCAGUUGAAACUGGCAGUCUUGAGUACAGUAGAGGUGGGCGGAAUUCGUGGUGUAGCGGUGAAAUGCUUAGAGAUCACGAAGAACUCCGAUUGCGAAGGCAGCUCACUGGACUGCAACUGACGCUGAGGCUCGAAAGUGGGGGUAUCAAACAGGAUUAGAUACCCGGGUAGUC